GGACAUUUAAAUCGCAUGCCCUUCAAUUUCGACCUAAUUAUUUGGAAUCCUUGAAAUGAAGGAUGACACAGUGUUCCCUCAAGUCCUUGUGCAUCUACCUAAACGAAUACCUUGAGCAGCGUGUGAAGGAAUACAUGAUCUCUCUUUGCCACAGCUGCUUCCUCCUGGCCUUGCCCCGAGCUUUCAGGAGGCUUCCCAGCUCCCUCUCCCUUCCCCUGCAGUCAAGAAGGAAAAGCAGGCAAAAGGAGGGAAAUAAAACUUCAGGCACACCACGCAAGGCCAUCUGGGUAAUCUUGUUCAAAAGGCUUGAGGUAAUAGCUGCAAUUUACACAGGCAAAAAAAAAAAAAAAAAAAAAGAACAGACCUCAUUUCCAUACCUACCAGCCUCAAGGAGAUGAAAUUGAAUAAACUAAGAAUUAGAAAAGAAUUACAGUAAAACCAAUACGGAAUAUUCAACAUUAGUUCAUUUUGUCCUUGCAACACCCCCUCCUUGCACACACAUCUUCUGGUUUCCUAAGAAAGAGAACAGUUGGGCUGACAUGAAGGUGCCGUGGACAACUAACAGAAGAACACAAGCGUACACACUCCGAUACACCAACACAGCUCCACUCAAAUACACGUGCAGGCACACACAGCCGAGGGGAGAAACAAUAUUUGCGAUGAAAGCAAAUCAAACUGAAAUCCAACAUGUUAAAGUCAAGUUGAUUAGUGUGGAAAUGUAAAAGCAUCUUCAACUGGCAUAUCCCACAGUCAUAAAGAUAUGUUAAUUUGCAACUUAAUGGCUGAAAGCAUAAUUUUGCUUAUAUAAACCUUGAAACGUGCUGCAUUUCUGAAAUGCGCCUUAAUUUAAUGAAGUAAACACCACCACAAAACAAUAAAUGCCCCAAUUAAAGAACAGGCAUGAAGAGAAGUGUCUAUUUCCCAUUUUGCCCCUGCGGACAUAUGUACCCAAGCGUGUCUGUGCAUUUACUC
Long non-coding RNA from Seriola aureovittata, 972 nucleotides. RefSeq lists it as uncharacterized. The record is from RefSeq and is a predicted model, not a curated record. The transcript has 3 exons. NCBI's taxonomy places the organism in Eukaryota, Metazoa, Chordata, Actinopteri, Carangiformes, Carangidae.